Molecule: ribosomal RNA, 225 nt
Filed under: uncultured bacterium
Lineage: Bacteria
Description: partial 16S ribosomal RNA
Rfam family: Bacterial small subunit ribosomal RNA
Source: RNAcentral
UACGUAGGGUGCAAGCGUUGUCCGGAAUUAUUGGGCGUAAAGAGCUCGUAGGCGGUCUGUCGCGUCUGCUGUGAAAACUCAGGGCUUAACCCUGAGCUUGCAGUGGGUACGGGCAGACUAGAGUGCGGUAGGGGAGACUGGAAUUCCUGGUGUAGCGGUGAAAUGCGCAGAUAGUCAGGAGGGAACACCGGUGGCGAAGGCGGGUCUCUGGGCCGUAACUGACGC